Molecule: ribosomal RNA, 374 nt
Filed under: uncultured organism
Description: partial 16S ribosomal RNA
Rfam family: Bacterial small subunit ribosomal RNA
Source: RNAcentral
GUAGGUGGCAAGCGUUGUCCGGAAUUAUUGGGCGUAAAGCGCGCGCAGGUGGUUCUUUAAGUCUGAUGUGAAAGCCCCCGGCUCAACCGGGGAGGGUCAUUGGAAACUGGGGAACUUGAGUGCAGGAGAGGAAAGUGGAAUUCCACGUGUAGCGGUGAAAUGCGUAGAUAUGUGGAGGAACACCAGUGGCGAAGGCGACUUUCUGGCCUGCAACUGACACUGAGGCGCGAAAGCGUGGGGAGCAAACAGGGAUUAGAUACCCUGGUAGUCCACGCCGUAAACGAUGAGUGCUAAGUGUUGGGGGGGUUUCCCGCCCCUCAGUGCUGCAGCUAACGCAUUAAGCACUCCGCCUGGGGAGUACGGUCGCAAGACUG